Long non-coding RNA from Nanorana parkeri, 96 nucleotides. RefSeq lists it as uncharacterized. The record is from RefSeq and is a predicted model, not a curated record. The transcript is spliced from 3 exons. NCBI's taxonomy places the organism in Eukaryota, Metazoa, Chordata, Amphibia, Anura, Dicroglossidae.
UCAGACCUUAGUGCAGGGAGGAUUGGCAUUUUGAGAUACAUACAUUAAUUUAGUGAUCCGUUUUGGGCACUCAGCCUCAAAAAGGUUCGCCUUCAU